RNAcentral lists this ribosomal RNA (666 nucleotides) under Cortinarius caninus. RNAcentral's name for it is "partial ribosomal RNA". The stretch from base 270 to 423 matches the Rfam family "5.8S ribosomal RNA". Lineage: Eukaryota; Fungi; Basidiomycota; Agaricomycetes; Agaricales; Cortinariaceae. The record is from RNAcentral.
UUUCCGUAGGUGAACCUGCGGAAGGAUCAUUAUUGAAAUAAACUGAUGGGUUGCUGCUGGUUCUUUAAUGAACAUGUGCACACCCGUCAUCUUUAUAUCUCCACCUGUGCACCUCUUGUAGACCUGGAAAAGUUUCUUAAUGCUAUGCUAGCAUUAAGGUUUUGGGAUUGAUUUUUUCUCUCCUUAUAUUUUCGGGUCUAUGUUUAUUCAUAUACUCUAAUGUAUGUUAUAGAAUGUAAUAAGUGGGCCUUUGUGCUAUAACACUAUACAACUUUCAGCAACGGAUCUCUUGGCUCUCGCAUCGAUGAAGAACGCAGCGAAAUGCGAUAAGUAAUGUGAAUUGCAGAAUUCAGUGAAUCAUCGAAUCUUUGAACGCACCUUGCGCUCCUUGGUAUUCCGAGGAGCAUGCCUGUUUGAGUGUCAUUAAUAUAUCAACCUCUUCAGCUUUUGCUUGUUGAGUGUUGGAUGUGGGGGUCCUUUUUGCUGGUCUUUUCAAGAGGUCAGCUCCCCUAAAAUGUAUUAGCGGAACAAUUUGUUGACCGUUCAUUGGUGUGAUAAUUAUCUACGCUAUUGACGUGAGGCAGUUCAGCUUCUAACAGUCCAUUGACUUGGACAGCUUUUUAUUAAUGUGACCUCAAAUCAGGUAGGACUACCCGCUGAACUUAA